This is a long non-coding RNA of Sitophilus oryzae (rice weevil), 717 nucleotides long. RefSeq lists it as uncharacterized. The transcript is spliced from 3 exons. Lineage: Eukaryota; Metazoa; Arthropoda; Insecta; Coleoptera; Curculionidae. The record is from RefSeq and is a predicted model, not a curated record.
AAGAAGUUGGGUUAGGUUACACGCACUUGUUUUUUUACGUUUCUGGUAACAUUUUAUGCUUUUCGAAUGAGAUUUUAAUGAAUGUAAAUGUUAGCUUUUAGCCAACUGAAAAUUGAAGUAGAUAAAAUCAGGAUACCAGUAUAUCAAUCUAAUAAUAAAAUCACAAAUAAUAUUCAGUAUUAAUUAUUCUCAAUAAUAUUUUUUUAAUAAUGUUAUAAUCAUUUGAAAUUUUUAAAAUAAGGACAUAAAGGGGCCUCAAAGAUUACUGUCACAAGAGUACUUUAGAAAUGAUUGGAUAUAGAUUUCAAAACUUUACCGAAGAGGAAUUUGAAACCAUGAAUAAGACAAUUCAACAUGCGAAGACAAAAUAUGAAAGAUCCAAAAAAUCAAUUAAAAUAUAAGUUUGCUUUUCCUUCUACAUACAUUUAAUGUUAUACUUUCCUUUUGUAUUUUGGAAUAAGAAAUAUAAAAUAAUGUUUAUACUGUACCUAUAUAUUUUGUAUUAUUUCAGACAUUCAACUUUAAGAUUUUUUUUAGAAAUUCGACUCGGAGGUCAGAGCUGAGUAAUUCCUUAUUUAGUGAGCAGCCGAAAAGAUAAGUUCUCAGUACUUGACAGUAUUUUUGAUAUUUUUGAAACAAGUAAGUGAUAAAUUUCUAAUUUUUAUUUGUUUUUUUUUCAAUUUGUUUGACAAAUUCGACUUUCUUGGUAGGGAUAUA